RNAcentral lists this ribosomal RNA (468 nucleotides) under uncultured bacterium. RNAcentral describes it as "partial 16S ribosomal RNA". It matches the Rfam family "Bacterial small subunit ribosomal RNA", at positions 28 to 507 of the family's 1533-position model. The record is from RNAcentral.
GACGAACGCUGGCGGCGUGCUUAACACAUGCAAGUCGAACGGAAAGGCCCUGCUUUUGUGGGGUGCUCGAGUGGCGAACGGGUGAGUAACACGUGAGUAACCUGCCCUUUACUUUGGGAUAACUUCAGGAAACUGGGGCUAAUACCGGAUAGGAGCUCCUGCUGCAUGGUGGGGGGGGGAAAGUUUCGGCGGUUGGGGAUGGACUCGCGGCUUAUCAGCUUGUUGGUGGGGUAGUGGCUUACCAAGGCUUUGACGGGUAGCCGGCCUGAGAGGGUGACCGGCCACAUGGGGACUGAGAUACGGCCCAGACUCCUAUGGGAGGCAGCAGUGGGGAAUAUUGCACAAUGGGCGGAAGCCUGAUGCAGCAGCGCCGCGUGCGGGAUGACGGCCUUCGGGUUGUAAACCGCUUUCGCCUGUGACGAAGCGUGAGUGACGGUAAUGGGUAAAGAAGCACCGGCUAACUACGUG